UUUAAUUUACUUUUCUUUAUUUAUAUACCCUAAUCUUAAGUGCCACAAAAAUAGAUUAUCCAUACAUACAUAAGCAUCAAAAGAGGCAUCAAAAUAACCAGAAAAUGAUGAACUUUCAUUUAUAUUCAGUUGGUACAAAUUGUCAACUUUAGUACCAUACACCAAUGCUCUAGAAUGCUUUCCAAUGGUAACCUGACCAGACUUGAACCUUAUUUCAUACUUUUGUCGUCUAGCCUAGGGACAUAAAUCAAAUUGCGUCUUAUAUUGGACGCAUACAAUGUAUCAGUCAAUAAGAGAUUUGUUCUUCCUGGUAAACACAGCUUGAAAGUACCGACACCUAGUACAUCAC
RNAcentral lists this long non-coding RNA (349 nucleotides) under Amborella trichopoda. Its description in RNAcentral is "long non-coding RNA (ATRI_LNC001975)". Lineage: Eukaryota; Viridiplantae; Streptophyta; Magnoliopsida; Amborellales; Amborellaceae. The record is from RNAcentral.